This 1813-nucleotide small RNA is filed under the name Pongo abelii (Sumatran orangutan). RNAcentral's name for it is "processed transcript". Lineage: Eukaryota; Metazoa; Chordata; Mammalia; Primates; Hominidae. The record is from RNAcentral.
GGCUUUUGAAACAAGGUAGUAGUGUCCCCAUUUCAGAUGAGUCGGGCAGAGUCUUCCUUCUGAGGUCACCUGGCUUCUAGGUGGCAAGGCUAAAUAAAUACAUCCCAGACGAGGUCGCUUUCCCCUCAGCACAGCUGGUGUGGGGCCUCGGAGAGAACACUUAGCCCAGCAGGUGCCAUGGGGAGGCGGUGCAGGCUCAGGUUCUGGGCACACAGCAGCUCCUGUGAGGGUGAGGCUAAGGUCUUGUGGUUUCCUGGCACAUCGGGCAACUCUUCUGGAGGGCUCCCUCUGUGGCUGAAAGCAAGUUGUCUUCCUUCCCUGCCCUCCAGGGUGAGCCCCCACCCCUCAUGCACCACCUCUGUUCUUCUUAGCUAGAGGGGCCUGAGCUAGCGGUCUAGGCAGCUGCUUCCGCACUGUCCUCCCGCUUCCUGUUUCAGCAGUGGCUCCGAUUUCACCACCGUUGCUGCUUCUCCAUGGUUCUUGGGGCAAGCCGUUGAGUCAUGAUCUGCCUCUUUGCUCCGUUCUUCACCUCUUUCCCCACUCCUGAGUUUCCACGUUGUAGCUAGAUAUUCUGAAAAGGCCAGUGGGAUCACAGCACCCCCAAUCACCACUUUUGCAAUGCCUGGAGGGGCCCUGUGCCUUCAAGAGGAAGUCCAGACUCACAAGCCCUUUGAAGACCUGGUCCCAUCCUCCUCCAUCUCCCUUCUGUACCAGAACCUGAGCGGCAAGUGCUGCACGUGUCCCACAGUACUCUCGUGUGAGCCAUUACUGGCAAGUCUUUCUGGUGAAUUUCUGUGUAAGCUCACUCAGAACUUGCCCCUGAGGACCCCUCCACCCUACCUGCCCUGGGCCCUCUCUUAGACACUGAGUUCCUGCCUCUGGCAUUGUGGCCCUAGCACCUUUGGUACUCCUGGAGUAGAGCCUGUGUCCUCUAGGGCUGUGUCCACAGCGUUGACACAUAUCUGGAUGCUUAAUGGGUACUCAAAUGAAUAAGUGAAACCUGCUUGGCUUUCAUUUGGACAGUAUAGACGUGUCCAUUGGAUUGUGGAUGGCUUUGUAACCAGGGCCGGUGGCAUAUCAAAAAUGAAGACUUUGUAAAAUAUAUGGGCAACUUUCUGCCUAUAAAGCUGGCUUUACAUGGCGCCGCCUUUUUUGAACUUUCUGAAGCGUAAAGGCGUGCAUUGAAUCCACCAGGAAGGCUUUUCAUGGGGCAGGGGCAGGCUGUGUUAGCAGAAGAAUGGCAGUAUGGCCGAGGGGCCGUAGUCAUUGGUUCUCGCCAUUGUAUUCUGAGCCUUUGUGCUCUAGGCGUCAGGGCCUCUCCUUUUUGAAUCUGUCCACCAAAAUCUAACAAAAUCGGGACUGAGUGUGGUCUCUUCUUCCCUCCCUGUCCCAGGCCACGUGCUGUAUGCCGACAUCAAGAUGGAGAACGGGAAGUCCAAGGGGUGUGGUGUGGUUAAGUUUGAGUCACCAGAGGUGGCCGAGAGAGCCUGCCGGAUGAUGAAUGGCAUGAAGCUGAGUGGCCGAGAGAUUGACGUUCGAAUUGAUAGAAACGCUUAAGCAGUUGCCUUUUUUAAACAUCGAUACGAGACCUCUGAAUUUGUAUUUUUUCUUGUUAACCAUUUUAAUUUGUUGGCUGGAUGUAUAAAGAUGUUUAAAAAAUUCAGUUGCUUUUUGGGGUAAUUUGAAUUACUUUUUUAAUGACUGGGGUUCCAUUUGACUGUUUGCAUUGAGAUUGCAAUGUGCGCAAUUUUUUUUGUAGUUGUGGCAUCUUGUUGACAUCGAAUAUGACUUUGAUAAUAAAUACCGGUUCCUG